CACAUGAAGAUCCACAUCGGACCUCAGCCACUACAACAAGAAAGCACAGCUCUAACACCAACAGAGAGCUACGAAUGAACCAAGCAGCUGUGAAGUCGAAGCUACAGUGGCAGGGCCCGGUGGCAUAUGCUGACGAGUAGGUGGUCCGUUCGGUGAUCUUCCUCAACACGUAGUAUGACUUCAGUGCACACGACACAGUAUAUGCCCCCCUGGAGACCGACAACAGAACAACAGUUCCACAAGCAUGAGCACACUUGAAUUCAGGUGAGAGUGUGACUACUCCCAUUCCUGUCACGUAGAAAGAAGAAAACUCCCGUUUCGUACAGAAAUUCCAUGAGAAGCAAAAUGGCGCCACGUCGUAUUAUUUGUAUUCUUCGUUCUACGAAUCAGCAAAACCAGAUCACGACUCGGACACGAUUCACAUGGAGCACCUAUCUCACGCUUUUUCGACGCGGUAGCCAGGCUGCCUCUCUUCCUCAUCACUUAUUUAAGACGCCCAUCUGGGUUAAAAAGUCGUGACCGAACAAUGACCGGCGGUAUGUAAGGCCUUCCACAGCGUAGCCGGUGCCAAAUACAUCAAAAGGCAGCCACCUCAUCACCGGUGCCCAAAAUUGCUUUUCAGGCAUCGAUCUCACAACGUAGGGCUUCGGCAGGAAAAAGAUUUUGGGACCCAUAUGAUAAACAAGUACACCACGCUGCUGUGUAUUGAGCAAAGAGAGAGAAGACAUUUGCUGUUCAAAGUUGAGAGUUAAUAGUAUUUUAUUGGCUGGAGGAAUUGGGCAUCGUGUUCUUACUUGCUCCGAUGCCAUGAAAAUUUUGUUGGGGCACCGGCCUCACAACGUGAGGGCACCGGCUAUCGGUGCCAGAAGUUAAUUUGGCACCUCUUUUGGCCUACAUAAUGGAAGGUCUAAGAGGUGGGUUUGAGAGAUCGGUAGUAGAUGCUCUUAAUAAGCUAGUACUAGAAGAAGAACAUGUAUAGGGGAGGAAGGGGACAUAAGUGAAUCCCGAACGGAAGCACGUACCUGCGGGUGAUGGCCGAGUCGAGAAGCACGGUCGACGUUCGUGAUCGAGUUGGCGCCGUGCCGGAGCUAAUUCAAGGGAAUGCCGCCGCCUUCCAACCGGAGACGAGACUGUAUUAUGUGGCUGACAACCUGCGCAGCUUUCAAACAUGGUGGCUCCUUUUGGAAAAGGCUCGGAGUGGAGACCCCAACCGUGUCACUCGUGUCAUACAUAUGCACCUUACAAAGGGCUGCGAGCUUUACUACACAGAUGUGUUGGGUGUACAUUUGGUUUUAACAAAUUUGAGACCUUAUCUUUUUUUUUGUUGGGUUUGCUGCUUUUAUGUCAUUUUAAAUACAUAUGUGUAUGCUGUCAAUACACUAUAGAUUAACAUACACUAGUGUCAAAAACGCUUUUAUAUUAUAAAACGGAGGGAGUAGUCUGAUUUUCUCAACACGUAAAUUUUUUUUUAAAUGGAGGCAAAAGAUUUGGCUCAUUCAUUAAUUAAGCAGAAAAGAACUGCCCAGUUAAUUAAUGAAAAACCAGGCGAAAAUCAUCACAAACUACUGAGUGACACCAAUGAAAGACCUACACGCGCCACUCACAAGAGGGCCUCGUCAAGACUGCACGUCGACAUCAUCGCCAUCACUUCUCCCCUAGAGGCAUCAUUGCCAUCCCAAACUAUGAGAAACGACUCCAACUUCACCUCAAGAGGGCCUCGUCAAGACCGCACCUCGAGCGUCAUCACCAUCACUUCUCCCCUAGAGGUGUCAUCGCCAUCCCAAACUCUGAAAAACAACUCUGACUUCGCCAAAGGCGAUCAUCAAACCAACCCACCCUGAAUAGGCCGUGCGGAAUCACAUGAAGAUCCACAUCGGACCUCAGCCACAACAACAAGAAAGCACAGCUCUAACACCAACAGAGAGCUACGAAUAAACCAAGCAGCUGUGAAGUCGAAGCUACAGUGGCAGGGCCUGGUGGCAUAUGCUGACGAGUAGGUGGUCCGUUCGGUGAUCUUCCUCAACACGUAGUAUGACUUCAGUGCACAUGACACAGUAUAUGCCCCCCUGGAGACCGACAACUGAACAACAGUUCCACAAGCAUGAGCACACUUGAAUUCAGGUGAGAGUGUGACCACUCCCAUUCCUGUCACGUAGAAAGAAGAAAACUCCCGUUUCGUACAGAAAUUCCAUGAGAAGCAAACUGGCGCCACGUCGUAUUAUUUGUAUUCUUCGUUCUACGAAUCAACAAAACCAGAUCACGACUCGGACACGAUUCACAUGGAGCACCUAUCUCACGCUUUUUCGACGUGGUAGCCAGGUUGCCUCUCUUCCUCAUCACUUAUUUAAGACGCCCGUCUGGGUUAAAAAAUCGUGACCGAACAAUGACCGGCGGUAUGUAAGGCCUUCCACAGCGUAGCCGGUGCCAAAUACAUCAAAAGGCAGCCACCUCAUCACCGGUGCCCAAAAUUGCUUUUCAGGCAUCGAUCUCACAACGUAGGGCUUCGGCAGGAAAAAGAUUUUGGGACCCAUAUGAUAAACAAGUACACCACGCUGCUGUGUAUUGAGCAAAGAGAGAAGACAUUUGCUGUUCAAAGUUGAGAGUUAAUAGUAUUUUAUUGGCUGGAGGAAUUGGGCAUCGUGUUCUUACUUGCUCCGAUGCCAUGAAAAUUUUGUUGGGGCACCGGCCUCACAACAUGAGGGCACCGGCUAUCGGAGCCAGAAGUUAAUUUGGCACCUCUUUUGGCCUACAUAAUGGAAGGUCUAAGAGGUGGGUUUGAGAGAUCGGUUGUAGAUGCUCUUAAUAAGCUAGUACUAGAAGAAGAACAUGUAUAGGGGAGGAAGGGGACAUAAGUGAAUCCCGAACGGAAGCACGUACCUGCGGGUGAUGGCCGAGUCGAGAAACACGGUCGACGUUCGUGAUCGAGUUGGCGCCGUGCCGGAGCUAAUUCAAGGGAAUGCCGCCGCCUUCCAACCGGAGACGAGACUGUAUUAUGUGGCUGACAACCUGCGUAGCUUUCAAACAUGGUGGCUCCUUUUGGAAAAGGCUCGGAGUGGAGACCCCAACCGUGUCACUCGUGUCAUACAUAUGCACCUUACAAAGGGCUGCAAGCUUUACUACACAGAUGUGUUGGGUGUACAUUUGGUUUUAACAAAUUUGAGACCUUAUCUUUUUUUGUUGGGUUUGCAGCUUUUAUGUCAUUUUAAAUACAUAUGUGUAUGCUGUCAAUACACUAUAGAUUAACAUACACUAGUGUCAAAAACGCUUUUAUAUUAUAAAACGGAGGGAGUAGUCUGAUUUUCUCAACACGUAAUUUUUUUUAAACGGAGGCAAAAGAUUUGGCUCAUUCAUUAAUUAAGCAGAAAAGAACUGCCCAGUUAAUUAAUGAAAAACCAGGCGAAAAUCAUCACAAACUACUGAGUGACACCAAUGAAAGACCUACACGCGCCACUCACAAGAGGGCCUCGUCAAGACUGCACGUCGACAUCAUCGCCAUCACUUCUCCCCUAGAGGCAUCAUUGCCAUCUCAAACUAUGAGAAACGACUCCAACUUCACCUCAAGAGGGCCUCGUCAAGACCGCACCUCGAGCGUCAUCACCAUCACUUCUCCCCUAGAGGUGUCAUCGCCAUCCCAAACUCUGAAAAACAACUCUGACUUCGCCAAAGGCGAUCAUCAAACCAACCCACCCUGAAUAGGCCGUGCGGAAUCACAUGAAGAUCCACAUCGGACCUCAGCCACUACAACAAGAAAGCACAGCUCUAACACCAACAGAGAGCUACGAAUGAACCAAGCAGCUGUGAAGUCGAAGCUACAGUGGCAGGGCCCGGUGGCAUAUGCUGACGAGUAGGUGGUCCGUUCGGUGAUCUUCCUCAACACGUAGUAUGACUUCAGUGCACACGACACAGUAUAUGCCCCCAUGGAGACCGACAACAGAACAACAGUUCCACAAGCAUGAGCACACUUGAAUUCAGGUGAGAGUGUGACCACUCCCAUUCCUGUCACGUAGAAAGAAGAAAACUCCCGUUUCGUACAGAAAUUCCAUGAGAAGCAAAAUGGCGUCACGUCGUAUUAUUUGUAUUCUUCGUUCUACGAAUCAGCAAAACCAGAUCACGACUCGGACACGAUUCACAUGGAGCACCUAUCUCACGCUUUUUCGACGCUGUAGCCAGGCUGCCUCUCUUCCUCAUCACUUAUUUAAGACGCCUGUCUGGGUUAAAAAAUCGUGACCGAACAAUGACCGGCGGUAUGUAAGGCCUUCCACAGCGUAGCCGGUGCCAAAUACAUCAAAAGGCAGCCACCUCAUCACCGGUGCCCAAAAUUGCUUUUCAGGCAUCGAUCUCACAACGUAGGGCUUCGGCAGGAAAAAGAUUUUGGGACCCAUAUGAUAAACAAGUACACCACGCUGCUGUGUAUUGAGCAAAGAGAGAGAAGACAUUCGCUGUUCAAAGUUGAGAGUUAAUAGUAUUUUAUUGGCUGGAGGAAUUGGGCAUCGUGUUCUUACUUGCUCCGAUGCCAUGAAAAUUUUGUUGGGGCACCGGCCUCACAACGUGAGGGCACCGGCUAUCGGAGCCAGAAGUUAAUUUGGCACCUCUUUUGGCCUACAUAAUGGAAGGUCUAAGAGGUGGGUUUGAGAGAUCGGUUGUAGAUGCUCUUAAUAAGCUAGUACUAGAAGAAGAACAUGUAUAGGGGAGGAAGGGGACAUAAGUGAAUCCCGAACGAAAGCACGUACCUGCGGGUGAUGGCCGAGUCAAGAAACACGGUCGACGUUCGUGAUCGAGUUGGCGCCGUGCCGGAGCUAAUUCAAGGGAAUGCCGCCGCCUUCCAACCGGAGACGAGACUGUAUUAUGUGGCUGACAACCUGCGCAGCUUUCAAACAUGGUGGCUCCUUUUGGAAAAGGCUCGGAGUGGAGACCCCAACCGUGUCACUCGUGUCAUACAUAUGCACCUUACAAAGGGCUGCGAGCUUUACUACACAGAUGUGUUGGGUGUUCAUUUGGUUUUAACAAAUUUGAGACCUUAUCUUUUUUUUGUUGGGUUUGCAGCUUUUAUGUCAUUUUAAAUACAUAUGUGUAUGCUGUCAAUACACUAUAGAUUAACAUACACUAGUGUCAAAAACGCUUUUAUAUUAUAAAACGGAGGGAGUAGUCUGAUUUUCUCAACACGUAAGGGCUUCUUUGAUUCAAAGGAAUUGCAUAGGAUUUUUGGAGGAUUUGAAUCCUUAGGAAUUUUUCCUGUGAUGCUCGUUUGAUUCGUAGGAUUGGCAUCCUUAGGAAUUUUUCCAUAGGAUCCAUUUGUACUACAUUUUGGAGGAAAAUUUGCAUCCACUGAAACCUCUUUGUAGGAUUCCUUUGUUUUUCCUGCGCUAUCAAACAUUCUUUGAGAUCCUGUAGGAUACUAUGGGACAUGUCAUCCUAUUCCUGCAUUUUUCCUAUUCCUUCAUUUUGACAAUCCUGCGAAUCAAAGAGGCCCUAAAUUUUUUUUUAAACGGAGGCAAAAGAUUUGGCUCAUUCAUUAAUUAAGCAGAAAAGAACUGCCCAGUUAAUUAAUGAAAAACCAGGCGAAAAUCAUCACAAACUACUGAGUGACACCAAUGAAAGACCUACACGCGCCACUCACAAGAGGGCCUCGUCAAGACUGCACGUCGACAUCAUCGCCAUCACUUCUCCCCUAGAGGCAUCAUUGCCAUCCCAAACUAUGAGAAACGACUCCAACUUCACCUCAAGAGGGCCUCGUCAAGACCGCACCUCGAGCGUCAUCACCAUCAUUUCUCCCCUAGAGGUGUCAUCGCCAUCCCAAACUCUGAAAAACAACUCUGACUUCGCCAAAGGCGAUCAUCAAACCAACCCACCCUGAAUAGGCCGUGCGGAAUCACAUGAAGAUCCACAUCGGACCUCAGCCACUACAACAAGAAAGCACAGCUCUAACACCAACAGAGAGCUACGAAUGAACCAAGCAGCUGUGAAGUCGAAGCUACAGUGGCAGGGCCCGGUGGCAUAUGCUGACGAGUAGGUGGUCCGUUCGGUGAUCUUCCUCAACACGUAGUAUGACUUCAGUGCACACGACACAGUAUAUGCCCCCCUGGAGACCGACAACAGAACAACAGUUCCACAAGCAUGAGCACACUUGAAUUCAGGUGAGAGUGUGACCACUCCCAUUCCUGUCACGUAGAAAGAAGAAAACUCCCGUUUCGUACAGAAAUUCCAUGAGAAGCAAAAUGGCGCCACGUCGUAUUAUUUGUAUUCUUUGUUCUACGAAUCAGCAAAACCAGAUCACGACUCGGACACGAUUCACAUGGAGCACCUAUCUCACGCUUUUUCGACGCGGUAGCCAGGCUGCCUCUCUUCCUCAUCACUUAUUUAAGACGCCCGUCUGGGUUAAAAAAUCGUGACCGAACAAUGACCGGCGGUAAGGCCUUCCACAGCGUAGCCGGUGCCAAAUACAUCAAAAGGCAGCCACCUCAUCACCGGUGCCCAAAAUUGCUUUUCAGGCAUCGAUCUCACAACGUAGGGCUUCGGCAGGAAAAAGAUUUUGGGACCCAUAUGAUAAACAAGUACACCACGCUGCUGUGUAUUGAGCAAAGAGAGAGAAGACAUUUGCUGUUCAAAGUUGAGAGUUAAUAGUAUUUUAUUGGCUGGAGGAAUUGGGCAUCGUGUUCUUACUUGCUCCGAUGCCAUGAAAAUUUUGUUGGGGCACCGGCCUCACAACGUGAGGGCACCGGCUAUCGGAGGCAGAAGUUAAUUUGGCACCUCUUUUGGCCUACAUAAUGGAAGGUCUAAGAGGUGGGUUUGAGAGAUCGGUUGUAGAUGCUCUUAAUAAACUAGUACUAGAAGAAGAACAUGUAUAGGGGAGGAAGGGGACAUAAGUGAAUCCCGAACGGAAGCACGUACCUGCGGGUGAUGGCCGAGUCGAGAAACACGGUCGACGUUCGUGAUCGAGUUGGCGCCGUGCCGGAGCUAAUUCAAGGGAAUGCCGCCGCCUUCCAACCGGAGACGAGACUGUAUUAUGUGGCUGACAACCUGCGCAGCUUUCAAACAUGGUGGCUCCUUUUGGAAAAGGCUCGGAGUGGAGACCCCAACCGUGUCACUCGUGUCAUACAUAUGCACCUUACAAAGGGCUGCGAGCUUUACUACACAGAUGUGUUGGGUGUACAUUUGGUUUUAACAAAUUUGAGACCUUAUCUUUUUUUUGUUGGGUUUGCAGCUUUUAUGUCAUUUUAAAUACAUAUGUGUAUGCUGUCAAUACACUAUAGAUUAACAUACACUAAUGUCAAAAACGCUUUUAUAUUAUAAAACGGAGGAAGUAGUCUGAUUUUCUCAACACGUAAGGGCUUCUUUGAUUCAAAGGAAUUGCAUAGGAUUUUUGGAGGAUUUGAAUCCUUAGGAAUUUUUCCUGUGAUGCUCGUUUGAUUCGUAGGAUUGGCAUUCUUAGGAAUUUUUCCAUAGGAUCCAUUUGUACUACAUUUUGGAGGAAAAUUUUCAUCCACUCAAACCUCUUUGUAGGAUUCCUUUGUUUUUCCUGCGCUAUCAAACAUUCUUUGAGAUCCCGUAGGAUACUAUGGGACAUGUCAUCCUAUUCCUGCAUUUUUCCUAUUCCUUCAUUUUGACAAUCCUGCGAAUCAAAGAGGCCCUAAAUUUUUUUUUAAACGGAGGCAAAAGAUUUGGCUCAUUCAUUAAUUAAGCAGAAAAGAACUGCCCAGUUAAUUAAUGAAAAACCAGGCGAAAAUCAUCACAAACUACUGAGUGACACCAAUGAAAGACCUACACGCGCCACUCACAAGAGGGCCUCGUCAAGACUGCACGUCGACAUCAUCGCCAUCACUUCUCCCCUAGAGGCAUCAUUGCCAUCCCAAACUAUUGAGAAACGACUCCAACUUCACCUCAAGAGGGCCUCGUCAAGACCACACCUGGCGCGUCAUCACCAUCACUUCUCCCCUAGAGGUGUCAUCGCCAUCCCAAACUCUGAAAAACAACUCUGACUUCGCCAAAGGCGAUCAUCAAACCAACCCACCCUGAAUAGGCCGUGCAGAAUCACAUGAAGAUCCACAUCGGACCUCAGCCACUACAACAAGAAAGCACAGCUCUAACACCAACAGAGAGCUACGAAUGAACCAAGCAGCUGUGAAGUCGAAGCUACAGUGGCAGGGCCCGGUGGCAUAUGCUGACGAGUAGGUGGUCCGUUCGGUGAUCUUCCUCAACACGUAGUAUGACUUCAGUGCACACGACACAGUAUAUGCCCCCCUGGAGACCGACAACAGAACAACAGUUCCACAAGCAUGAGCACACUUGAAUUCAGGUGAGAGUGUGACCACUCCCAUUCCUGUCACGUAGAAAGAAGAAAACUCCCGUUUCGUACAGAAAUUCCAUGAGAAGCAAAAUGGCGCCACGUCGUAUUAUUUGUAUUCUUCGUUCUACGAAUCAGCAAAACCAGAUCACGACUCGGACACGAUUCACAUGGAGCACCUAUCUCACGCUUUUUCGACGCGGUAGCCAGGCUGCCUCUCUUCCUCAUCACUUAUUUCCACCAUGGAGAUGGUGGCCUCCAUCAGGCCGUAACUUUCUUCGACGUCACUGAGUUGCAGAUGGUGGCAAAGUCCGG
This 8596-nucleotide long non-coding RNA is filed under the name Triticum aestivum (bread wheat). RNAcentral's name for it is "long non-coding RNA (TAES_LNC007652)". The record is from RNAcentral. Lineage: Eukaryota; Viridiplantae; Streptophyta; Magnoliopsida; Poales; Poaceae.